GAAUUCCAUGCCAAGGAGAGGGAGGGUGGCACCCCAGAAGCCAGCUGACCCGCAGCAGAGAGGAGCCUGGCACAGUCGGGGCCGGGCAGAGGCAGGCGCACAGCUGGGUUUGUGAAGCGGCUAACAGCAAAGUUUAAUCCCUGCUUACCGAGAAAGGUGUCAGAGCUAGAUUGGUGGCUUUUCACGCAAUCACUAGGUUCUUUUUAUUUGCCUGGAUGCUUUCUCUUUUUGAGCCACUGCAAGACCCCAGCCAUCCCUGCAGCCCCCCAACCCAAUUAUCUUCUUUGAGGCUAGAUGAGGAAAACAGCUUUACGUUCCCAGUGAUCCAGGAUGGAUUAAAUGGUCAAAAAUUGCA
This is a long non-coding RNA of Pan troglodytes (chimpanzee), 355 nucleotides long. RefSeq lists it as uncharacterized. The record is from RefSeq and is a predicted model, not a curated record. Lineage: Eukaryota; Metazoa; Chordata; Mammalia; Primates; Hominidae. The transcript is spliced from 2 exons.